AGAGUUUGAUCAUGGCUCAGGACGAACGCUGGCGGCGUGCUUAACACAUGCAAGUCGAACGAUGAGGCCUUUCGGGGCUGAUUAGUGGCGAACGGGUGAGUAACACGUGGGCAACCUGCCCUCCACUCUGGGAUAACUCCGGGAAACCGGGGCUAAUACUGGAUACGACCCUCCCUCGCAUGGGGGUGGGUGGAAAGUUUUUCGGUGGAGGAUGGGCCCGCGGCCUAUCAGCUUGUUGGUGGGGUGAUGGCCUACCAAGGCGGUGACGGGUAGCCGGCCUGAGAGGGCGACCGGCCACACUGGGACUGAGACACGGCCCAGACUCCUGCGGGAGGCAGCAGUGGGGAAUAUUGCACAAUGGGCGAAAGCCUGAUGCAGCGACGCCGCGUGAGGGAUGACGGCCUUCGGGUUGUAAACCUCUUUCAGCAGGGACCAAGCUUUCGGGUGAGUGUACCUGCAGAAGAAGCACCGGCUAACUACGUGCCAGCAGCCGCGGUAAUACGUAGGGUGCGAGCGUUGUCCGGAUUUAUUGGGCGUAAAGGGCUCGUAGGCGGCCUGUCGCGUCGGAAGUGAAAGCCCACUGCUUAACGGUGGGUCUGCUUCCGGUACGGGCAGGCUGGAGUAUGGCAGGGGAGACUGGAAUUCCUGGUGUAGCGGUGGAAUGCGCAGAUAUCAGGAGGAACACCGGUGGCGAAGGCGGGUCUCUGGGCCAUUACUGACGCUGAGGAGCGAAAGCGUGGGGAGCGAACAGGAUUAGAUACCCUAGUAGUCC
RNAcentral lists this ribosomal RNA (772 nucleotides) under uncultured bacterium. Its description in RNAcentral is "bacterial SSU rRNA". It matches the Rfam family "Bacterial small subunit ribosomal RNA", at positions 8 to 796 of the family's 1533-position model. The record is from RNAcentral.